This 26-nucleotide non-coding RNA is filed under the name Homo sapiens (human). Lineage: Eukaryota; Metazoa; Chordata; Mammalia; Primates; Hominidae. The record is from RNAcentral.
UUGCACCAAAACCUGCUAGAGGAUGC